Molecule: non-coding RNA, 217 nt
Organism: Pelobates cultripes (western spadefoot toad)
Lineage: Eukaryota; Metazoa; Chordata; Amphibia; Anura; Pelobatidae
Source: the annotation of a GenBank genome assembly
CACUAAUGUUCCAUGCAAUACUUUUAAAACUGAUAACGCGAAGGGCGGAGCCAAACAGGCAAGCAGCCAAGAUGUGCUCAGCAAGAGCUCCCACGUCUGGGGACAAAAAACGGGGGGUACCCGAACUUCGACACCCACUGACCGCAGACCACGAUACCCGUAACCAGGAAAGACUACCGCAUCGAAUAGUGCCUCUUGCGCUCCUGCACAGCUGACC